AAUUAAUCCAAAGUGAAUAAUAACAUUAGCUUUUCAUUUAUAUUCUAUUUACAUUUACAGUAUACCAAGCAGGGGGAUAAUUGUUGGAUUUCCAUCAAGAUGUUUGUCAUUGAAUUGACCCAGCCCGUGUUGAAGUAGAAGGUGUUGAAGAUAAGAUAUCUUAUCUGGAGACUAAUGAACUUCUUAUCUUCAACAAGGUGUCUUGUCUUUGGUACCCUGACUUAGAAACUCAAGAGAGGGUAUUAUGGUUUGAGUAUAGACGUCCUCCCAAAGCCGCAUGUGCUCAUAGGCUUGAUCUAGAGUGUGUGAAGCUGCAAUUGAUUCAUGCUGCAAUGCUAGGCUCAGGGGCACUAGAAUUAAGAGUGUAAAUUCACAUGCCCUAAGUAGUCUGAAUAAGAUGAAAGGGGCAGGGAGACCCUGCCUGUUAAAUUCCCCUUGUAACCUUUGCUGCUUUGGGCUCCCCAUGUUGUUUCUCCUCUGUGAUGCUUGUUUGCCAUCCCAGACUUGGAGCCAGUUUAUGGACUGAAACCUCUACAAACUGAUCUCCAGCCUGAGUAUAUGCCAAUUGACAUGGGGACACAGAGGCCAGCAAUUUAAGGAUUUUCCCAUUUGCUUGCAGUGAAAGAUGGACUGCAGACUGUUGGACUGAAGCUGCUUCGCGGAUGAAGUCUCUGUUUGGUCCAACUUUGUGUCCUCUGCAGCACAUAAAUAAUGUCUGGUGUGUAGAAUCGGCUCUAUAAAUGGAUAAUGCAGGCCCACAUGGCUUUCUCCCUCCGACUGAGUCGCAUGUGAGGGGCCAUUGACUGUGUGCAGUCAAUCCUGGGACCAGACCUCCAGCACAAGAGGAAUAUGUGUGCCUAUGUCACUGUGUUCUUUGUAAGAGACAGGCCAGAUGGGAAGAAAGGGGCUGCCUUUGACCUUUCAGAGCCACUGAACACAGCUGGUCAUCAGAAGCCACACACGCACACACACACGUGCAUACACGCACACAAGGGCCACAGACAGUUCUUUGACAGCUGUAUCUUGAUCGCCAAAGGAGAUAAAUGUUACAAGUAAGUCGCUGGAUUGCAAUUCGUGGAGAACAAGCCAGAGUUUAAACUCACCCAAGUUGGAAGCAGCACACUGGAUUCAAGUUCCAUUUCUUUUUCUUCUUUGAGUUAUCGUUUAGAUUUUGUGGUUAGCAGUGGGUGAUGAGGAAGCUGGGCUCUUCUUGGAGGAUCGUACUGGAAAAGGUGAUUUUCCUGGAUGGAGAAAGCCUGGGUUACUUUCUCCUCCCCUCCUCUUCCCUCUUUCCUCUUCUUUCCUCUUCUCUUCUCUUCUUUUUUUUUUUUUUCUUUCCUAGUACUGGGGAUUGAACCCAUGGCCUUCAUACUGAGUUAC
RNAcentral lists this long non-coding RNA (1380 nucleotides) under Heterocephalus glaber (naked mole-rat). RNAcentral describes it as "lncRNA (ENSHGLG00100045548.1)". The record is from RNAcentral. Lineage: Eukaryota; Metazoa; Chordata; Mammalia; Rodentia; Bathyergidae.